UACGAAGGGGGCUAGCGUUGUUCGGAAUUACUGGGCGUAAAGCGUGCGCAGGCGGUUUUGUAAGCCAGAUGUGAAAUCCCCGGGCUUAACCUGGGAAUGGCAUUUGGGACUGCAAGGCUCGAGUGCGGCAGAGGAGACUGGAAUUCCUGGUGUAGCAGUGAAAUGCGUAGAGAUCAGGAGGAACACCGGUGGCGAAGGCGGCCCACUGGGCUGUCACUGACGCUGAGGCGCGAAAGCUCGGGGAGCGAACGGG
This 253-nucleotide ribosomal RNA is filed under the name uncultured bacterium. RNAcentral's name for it is "partial 16S ribosomal RNA". It matches the Rfam family "Bacterial small subunit ribosomal RNA", at positions 524 to 776 of the family's 1533-position model. The record is from RNAcentral.